UAUUGGGCUGAUAUUUUUCAAUCUGUCAAAAUAUAAGAAACAUAUGGAUCAAGAGUCCAGAUCAAAGAGAACGGAGAAUGACGACAUCUCAUCACUUCGCUCUUGGAUAACCCUAAAACGGCCAGCCGACGAAUCUCUUCGACAUUCCAUCUCACCUCUGCGCAUGGCGACCAAGUGAUGUUCUUCAGAGAUGCUUCACUCCGUCCACGCGAAGCCAAGUUGAAGUUUCGUCUGAUUCACAUCGGGGAGGCUCGAAAUCCAAAGUCGAAGAUCCUUAUUGGACAAGAGAUUCUCCUUAUCGACGAAGAGGGAACGGUUAUUUAUCUACCGCCACCUCCGUGAGUGGUCGCUCUGGAGCUAUUUGCGUAGGAAAUCGCGCCUUUCCGUUUUGCUCAGCCUUUGAGUUCUCUCCUCUUCCUGUGUUAACGUGUUCCUCUUCUUGGUGUCUCUGUUUCUCAUAUCUGCUAUUGUUGAUUUUGUCUAGAAGCAGCAGGUCUAUUCUAAGUUGCUGCGUCCGAGUUUCAUUACGGUCCAAACCAUGUCAGAGUCUCAGACAGCUCUAAAGAAUCAGCCACAGUCCUCGGCCUCCUCUGGAAAGAAGCAAGCUUUGAUAUCUUUAUCUGACAAGUAGGAUUAAGCUACUCUUGGCAACGGUCUUCAAGAGUUAGGAUACACUAUCGUUUGUACUCGAGGAACUGCCUCUACCUUGGAGAAUGCUGGAGUCUCUGUCACCAAAGUGGAGACUUUCUCUUCCCUCAUUCUUUAGCUGGUGAAGCUUAAUGACCGUGCGAAGACUUUGCACCCAAACAUACACGGUGGUAUCCUCGCUAGAAGAGAUGUGGAGCAUCAUAUGGAAGCUUUUAAUGAGCAUGGCGUUGGUACAUUUGAUGUGGUGGUUAUCAAUUUGUAUCCGUUCUACGACAAAGUUACUGCUCCAGGUGGGAUCAGUUUUGAGGAUGGGAUUGAGAACAUCGACAUUGGUGGUGCUGCUAUGAUUAAAGCAGUUGCUAAGAACCACAAAGAUGUCCUCAUCGUUGUCGAUUCAGAGGAUUAUCAAGCUGUUUUGGAGUAUCUCAAAGGAGCUCAGAACGACCAAAAAUUCCGCAGGAAAUCUGCGUGGAAGGCCUUUCAGCACAUUGCUGCUUAUGAUUCCGCUGUCUCAGAAUGGCUAUGGAAGCAGACUGAGGGACGUAGGUGCUUAUUUUUUAUGUGAUCCUCCUUACACUAGAUCGAGAUGUAGUGGCUUCCAGUUGAAUCUCAUAUCAGUUUGAGGUUUUAAUACGUUAAUUCUUAUCAGUUGUGUUGGAUACCAGCCGUCAGUGUCCUUAGAUACGGUGUGGAGCUUGCUGUUGCAGAUAAGAGUGAUGAAGCUGUUUACGUCGGUUCUGGUGGGGAGAUAACAAAACUAACUAAUAUUAGAGCCGCUGAAGCUGGGCACCUUCACGCCGCAAGUGUUGAGAAUCGUAAAGACAGCCAGCUCCCUCUGUCCAUAACUUGAUGGGAGAAACAUACAGUUUUCAGCUAGGCUGACACAUUUCAGUUUGACUUCUAAUCAUCAGACCUUCACGAUUUCAUCCAUUUUUAAUAAGCGUAACUGUCCACCAGUCCCAGAUUUCGUUGUUGAUGGAGUGAGCUCACUUACCAUCAAUGUCUGUGCCGGUCCUCCUGAUAAUGAGAAUGAACCAGCUGGUGAAACAACUGCAGGUGGUGCAUCGGUCACGAACUUGCUGAUCCCGACGAGUUUAAAGCAACUAAGAAGGCACGCCUUACAUAGAUUGAAGAGGAUAGUCGUCAGCCACGGCGUCGGCUCCUAGAAUAAUACUUGUGCAUAGUUGUUGGCAUGUUGCUUUUAUUACAUCAUCUGGCGUAAACAGUUUACAACUGACUAUAAACCCAAUCAUGUUUGGAAAUUCAUUAUCUUUGUCUACAAGUCGGUGAACUAUUCUAUUUGCGUA
This is an RNA transcript of Brassica napus (rape), 1955 nucleotides long. RefSeq lists it as uncharacterized. The transcript has 11 exons. The record is from RefSeq and is a predicted model, not a curated record. Lineage: Eukaryota; Viridiplantae; Streptophyta; Magnoliopsida; Brassicales; Brassicaceae.